UACGUAGGGUGCGAGCGUUGUCCGGAAUUAUUGGGCGUAAAGAGCUCGUAGGCGGUGUGUCACGUCGGCCGUGAAAACCUGCAGCUUAACUGUGGGCGUGCGGUCGAUACGGGCAUCACUGGAGUUCGGCAGGGGAGACUGGAAUUCCUGGUGUAGCGGUGAAAUGCGCAGAUAUCUGGAGGAACACCGGUGGCGAAGGCGGCAUCCUGGACCGGCAUUGACGCUGAGGCGCGAAAGCUAGGGGAGCAAACGGG
This 254-nucleotide ribosomal RNA is filed under the name uncultured bacterium. RNAcentral's name for it is "partial 16S ribosomal RNA". It matches the Rfam family "Bacterial small subunit ribosomal RNA", at positions 524 to 776 of the family's 1533-position model. The record is from RNAcentral.